Molecule: long non-coding RNA, 480 nt
Organism: Phragmites australis (common reed)
Lineage: Eukaryota; Viridiplantae; Streptophyta; Magnoliopsida; Poales; Poaceae
Exons: 3
Source: RefSeq, a predicted model, not a curated record
UAUCUCUUCACAUCUCUCUCAAUCUCUCCUCUCGUCCUCGUCCUACUACCUCACCUCCGAUGGCUGCCCCAUUGCCGGCCUCCUUGCCCGUGUCCUCUCUCCCAUUGUCCACCUCCGCAUCCACGCGCUCCGCGACAGUGGCAGGGCCACGUGCACCGAGUCCCGCGACUGCUACCUCUCCACGUCCGAUCUGGGAGGAGGAGGAGGCGGCAUGGGGAGGUGGGCAUGAAGGGAUGGGGUGCCAUGGGGAGGCAGAUUGGAGGGGGCCACUCUGCGCUGGCCUCGGUCAUCGCCAUGGUCUCUAUGCUGCUCCGGGCGACGUCAAGAUUGAGGUUUGGCGAGCUGCUCCGGGCGACGCGGCAGCACCUCAAGAACAUUUGAUUUUUUCUCUAUGGAUGCAUGUGAAUCUCUUUGUGGAUGUGAAUGUCUUUGUGGAUGUGAAUGUUUGAAUCUCUCUAUGGAUGUGAAUCUCUCUGUGGA